GUAAAAGUGAAUAUUAUUGGUUUAAGUAGUUAGUUUAAGUAUUUAUGUUUAUUAAAAUUUUAAUUUUUAGGUGAAAUUUUAAUUUUUUUAUAAUUAUUCCAAAAUGAAGCUAUNNAAUUUAUUUUACAAACAAGGAUUAGAUACCCUUUUAUUUUAAAUGUUAAAAUUUUAAACCAGGGUAUUAAUUGUUAUGUUCUUCAAACCCAAAGAAUUUGGCGGUGCUUUAGUCCUUUCAGAGGAAUCUGUCCCGUAAUCGACAUUCCACGAUAUUAAGUACUUAUUUUUGUUUUCAGUUUGUAUACCUCCGUCGUAAGAGAAUCUUUUUAGAGUUUAAUUUUCUUAAUAUAUUAAAUAUAUUAUGUCAGGUCAAGGUGCAAUUUAUAAAUAAGUGGAGAUGGAUUACAAUAAAUUUAUUUAAACGGAUUAAAUUAUUUAAUUUUUUAUGAAGGUGGAUUUGAUUGUAAUUUUAAUAGUUUAUUAUUAUGAUUAAUGGCUCUAAAGCAUGCCACACAUCGCCCGUCGCUCUCAUUAUUAAAAUGAGAUAAGUCGUAACAUAGUAGGUGUAUCGGAAGAUGUACCUAGAAAGUUAA
This 590-nucleotide ribosomal RNA is filed under the name Onychogomphus forcipatus unguiculatus. Its description in RNAcentral is "partial 12S ribosomal RNA". The record is from RNAcentral. Lineage: Eukaryota; Metazoa; Arthropoda; Insecta; Odonata; Gomphidae.